Molecule: ribosomal RNA, 1461 nt
Filed under: uncultured bacterium
Lineage: Bacteria
Description: partial 16S ribosomal RNA
Rfam family: Bacterial small subunit ribosomal RNA
Source: RNAcentral
AGAGUUUGAUCAUGGCUCAGAUUGAACGCUGGCGGUAGGCUUAACACAUGCAAGUCGUGCGAGAAAGUACCUUCGGGUGCGAGUAGAGCGGCGGACGGGUGAGUAACGCGUAGGAAUCUACCUAGUAGAAGGGGAUAGCCCGGGGAAACUCGGAUUAAUACCGUAUACCUCCUUAGGGAGAAAGAGGGCUUAGCUUUGAUGCUCUCGCUACUAGAUGAGCCUGCGUAAGAUUAGCUUGUUGGUGAGGUAAUGGCUCACCAAGGCGACGAUCUUUAGCUGGUCUGAGAGGACGAUCAGCCACAUUGGGACUGAGACACGGCCCAAACUCCUACGGGAGGCAGCAGUGGGGAAUCUUGCACAAUGGAGGAAACUCUGAUGCAGCGAUGCCGCGUGAAUGAAGAAGGCCUUUGGGUUGUAAAGCUCUUUCGUCGGGGAAGAAAAUGACUGUACCCGAAUAAGAAGGUCCGGCUAACUUCGUGCCAGCAGCCGCGGUAAUACGAAGGGACCUAGCGUAGUUCGGAAUUACUGGGCUUAAAGAGUUCGUAGGUGGUUGAAAAAGUUGGUGGUGAAAUCCCAGAGCUUAACUCUGGAACUGCCAUCAAAACUUUUCAGCUAGAGUAUGAUAGAGGAAAGCAGAAUUUCUAGUGUAGAGGUGAAAUUCGUAGAUAUUAGAAAGAAUACCAAUUGCGAAGGCAGCUUUCUGGAUCAUUACUGACACUGAGGAACGAAAGCAUGGGUAGCGAAGAGGAUUAGAUACCCUCGUAGUCCAUGCCGUAAACGAUGUGUGUUAGACGUUGGAAAUUUAUUUUUCAGUGUCGCAGCGAAAGCGAUAAACACACCGCCCUGGGGAGUACGACCGCAAGGUUAAAACUCAAUGAAUUGACGGGACCCGCACAAGUAGUGGAGCAUGUGGUUUAAUUCGAAGAUACGCGCAGAACCUUACCACACUUGACAUGUUCGUCGCGACUCUAAGAGAUUAGAGUUUUCGGUUCGGCCGGACGAAACACAGGUGCUGCAUGGCUGUCGUCAGCUCGUGUCGUGAGAUGUUGGGUUAAGUCCCGCAACGAGCGCAACCCUCACUUUUAGUUGCCAUCAUUUAGUUGGGCACUCUGAAAGAACUGCCAGUGAUAAGCUGGAGGAAGGUGGGGAUGACGUCAAGUCCUCAUGGCCCUUACGUGUUGGGCUACACACGUGCUACAAUGGUAUCUACAACAGGAAGCAAGACUGCGAAGUUAAGCAAAUCCUCAAAAGAUACCUCAGUUCGGAUUGCACUCUGCAACUCGAGUGCAUGAAGCUGGAAUUACUAGUAAUCGUGGAUCAGCGUGCCACGGUGAAUGCGUUCCCGGGUCUUGUACACACCGCCCGUCACACCAUGGGAGUUGGUUCUACCUUAAGGCAAGGUUUCAAACCCUUGACCACGGUAUAGACAGCGACUGGGGUGAAGUCGUAACAAGGUAACCG